UACUUGCCUUGGGGCUGUUCCUGUC
Molecule: microRNA, 25 nt
Filed under: Bombyx mori (domestic silkworm)
Lineage: Eukaryota; Metazoa; Arthropoda; Insecta; Lepidoptera; Bombycidae
Description: bmo-miR-3315
Source: miRBase by way of RNAcentral